UACGAAGGGGGCUAGCGUUGCUCGGAAUUACUGGGCGUAAAGCGCACGUAGGCGGAUUGUUAAGUCGGGGGUGAAAUCCUGGAGCUCAACUCCAGAACUGCCUUCGAUACUGGCGAUCUCGAGUCCGGGAGAGGUGAGUGGAACUGCGAAGUGUAGAGGUGAAAUUCGUAGAUAUUCGCAAGAACACCAGUGGCGAAGGCGGCUCACUGGCCCGGUACUGACGCUGAGGUGCGAAAGCGUGGGGAGCGAACAGG
This 254-nucleotide ribosomal RNA is filed under the name uncultured bacterium. RNAcentral's name for it is "partial 16S ribosomal RNA". It matches the Rfam family "Bacterial small subunit ribosomal RNA", at positions 524 to 776 of the family's 1533-position model. The record is from RNAcentral.